Molecule: transfer RNA, 75 nt
Filed under: Caudoviricetes sp.
Lineage: Duplodnaviria; Heunggongvirae; Uroviricota; Caudoviricetes
Description: tRNA-Thr
Rfam family: tRNA
About the family: Transfer RNA (tRNA) molecules are approximately 80 nucleotides in length. Their secondary structure includes four short double-helical elements and three loops (D, anti-codon, and T loops).
Source: RNAcentral
GCCGAAAUAGCUUUAACGGUAGAGCGCCUGAUUUGUAAUCAGGUUGUUGGGGGUUCGAAUCCCUCUUUCGGCUCA